AAUCAAUUAUUUGUUGAUGAAGUUUUAUUUAGUAAACUUUUGUUAAAGCUUCGCUACUAUUUGUUAAACUGGCCAGCCAAUAUUCCGGAAUCCGGAUUUACUGAAGGAAUUCAGAAUCUGAUAUCGUUAAAUUAGUUUUGGUGUACGAUUACCGAAGUCGAAAAGUGUCUGAUUCCGAUAAACUUAGUGCCCUGCUCUCGAUGACUACCACUCUAUUCGAACUGCUGAUGGCCGUUCCCGCCAGCAACCGUUCACGAUUCCCGGAACUGUUACCGACGAACAAUUUCUGAAAGUGAAAAGCUGAUGGUAGCUGUACCCAAUAUGUGUCAUUUGUUGCCUGCCCACUGCUCGCUGUUCCUGCCAUUCCAGUUAUCCUGUGCAACCAUCAAGGUAGUUGCUGCAAGUAUUCUCUCCCGGUCCGAAUUGUUCCUGCCACCCACGCCGUUGGUUGAAAUAAACGAAAUGAUGAAUCAAAGAAAUGAUUGUAUCAUUGAAGUUGAGUUCAGUUUAUUUUCAAUGAUCACAAAAACACAGCUUGUUCAUAUUGCAUUUCUGACUAAUGUUUUAGGUUGCAUUUUGAUCCGAUUAAAAAUACCUAUUUUUGAGUUUUAACAUCCGAGGUGACAUUAGGUAAAAAUCACCCACUGAGAUAAUUUUGUACGAUAACCCAAAUUUGAGUACUAGGCUAUUUACUCAAAUUUGGGGUAACUCACGAAAGUGCCAAGUUGGGUAGAAAGAACUCGAAUUUGAGUACUUCGUUCUCUCCGUAUACGUGUGUUCAAAUGUCACUAAGCUCUAUAACAGCAAUGUAAAUAUGUGCUGUACAAUGUAACGGUUGUAACGGGUGGAAAUUUUGACGUACAGCUUGCUGUAGAGCCGCUCUUUUCUAUUUUAAUUACCUAUGGGACAAUAAUGGGUAGCAUUCACAAUUAUUCGGUUAUAUAGCUACCCAUAUCGAUUUAUUUGUAGUAUAAAAGGAACAUCCUGGACCACAAGAGCUAUUAUUUUUGUCUUCAUCGAUCGGACGAAGCAGAAUCUAAAUCAUUGAGUGUCUACCGGGGAGCCACCGCUUCGGGCUUGCAGAUGGCAAUUCGUAUGUCUAAUUUUGUAGAAAUGUAUCUGCAUUUGUUCCAUGGAUUCUUCGAGCGCAACAUUCUACGGGCAAAAGAGGGAUCAGCACAAUUAGAUCCUAAUUUGUAAUGAGUUCCCCUUUCAAAAUGGCUGAACCAACUGAACACUGUGUAAUUGAAAUGUCUUUUUGUACAAGUUGAAAAAAUAUAAAAUUUUAAUCAAAUACCUACUAUUUACCGAGAAACGUUUGUAAUAAAAUGAGAUCUUUGUGAACCCUA
This is a long non-coding RNA of Aedes aegypti (yellow fever mosquito), 1349 nucleotides long. RefSeq lists it as uncharacterized. The record is from RefSeq and is a predicted model, not a curated record. The transcript has 3 exons. Lineage: Eukaryota; Metazoa; Arthropoda; Insecta; Diptera; Culicidae.